Molecule: ribosomal RNA, 468 nt
Filed under: uncultured bacterium
Lineage: Bacteria
Description: partial 16S ribosomal RNA
Rfam family: Bacterial small subunit ribosomal RNA
Source: RNAcentral
GACGAACGCUGGCGGCGUGCUUAACACAUGCCAGUCGAACGGAAAGGCCCUGCUUUUGUGGGGUGCUCGAGUGGCGAACGGGUGAGUAACACGUGAGUAACCUGCCCUUGACUUUGGGAUAACUUCAGGAAACUGGGGCUAAUACCGGAUAGGAGCUCCUGCUGCAUGGUGGGGGUUGGAAAGUUUCGGCGGUUGGGGAUGGACUCGCGGCUUAUCAGCUUGUUGGUGGGGUAGUGGUUUACCAAGGCUUUGACGGGUAGCCGGCCUGAGAGGGUGACCGGCCACAUUGGGACUGAGAUACGGCCCAGACUCCUACGGGAGGCAGCAGUGGGGAAUAUUGCACAAUGGGCGGAAGCCUGAUGCAGCAACGCCGCGUGCGGGAUGACGGCCUUCGGGUUGUAAACCGCUUUCGCCUGUGACGAAGCGUGAGUGACGGUAAUGGGUAAAGAAGCACCGGCUAACUACGUG